AAUCAGAACCCCCCAAAAGUGUUAUAAUGGUAGAGGGAAAUUGGUUAUUGUUGCUCUGUGCUUACGGUAAAUGGAUAUGAAUAUGAGACAAAAGUACAGUCAGCAUUUAAUAUCAUGGUAUGUGUGUUACCAUUUCACAGAAACUGCUGUCUUUGCGUUGAGUCCCCCUUAUUUCAGCUUUGUAAAAGUAAAAAAAAAAAUUAAAAUUAAAAAGCAGAAGUUCUUUCCUCCACACUUUCAGCUUUCCAUUGCUUUGGUUUUUAUUUUUUUAUUUUUUUUUGUCUCAUCUGUUCAUGAAACUGCUUCCAAACUCUUCAGGCUUGUCUUUGUAUUUUUUGGCAAAUUCUAAUCUGGCCUUUUGAUUCUUGAUGUUGAUGUGAGGUUUUGCACUUUGCUGUUUCGCCUCUAUAAUUCUGCUCUCAGAGUCUUCUGCAUUUGGCGGCUUGCUAUGUUUUUACCCCUGCCCUCUGGAGACCGCUGGUGACAUCACUGACCGUAGUUUUAGGGUUCUCCGUCACAACUCUUCACAGGAUUCGUCUGUCAUCAACUGCAGUCCAACUCAAACAGUUACUUAGAGUUGUAUGUAGCCUACACAACUCACAUACAAGUUUGAAUAGUUUAUUAUCUGUUUGGCACUGUGAGUGCCUGUGGGUUUUCUGGCUUCUAUUGUUGGUGGCUAUUUGUCAGUAGACAGGAAAGGUAAGAGUGAUCUUCUGCAGAUAUAUAUUUAAAUUGAGUUGAUUUUAGUUACAGGAAAGCGGAAGGUAAAGCAGUGAUGAAGUAGAAGUGUGGGAGCUUCUUGAAGAAUUUUUUUUACAACUUGCUGUCCACACAAGCAGAUAAGAAAAGAAUGCAUUUGAGGUGCUGUACAGUAUAUACAAUAGCCCAGGGGUUUCUUUUUUAUCGCUCUUUUGAUCACUGAAGUUGAAGCACUAAACUUCCUCUUGAAUCAUGCAGACAAACAGAGGGGUCACAUUGAUCUUGCUGAGUCUAAUGACAAGACUGGGGAGCCCAAAGGAUGUACUGACUCUGCAGCCUAACUGGCCCCUGUUCUUCACUGGAGAGACCGUCACUCUCUCGUGCUCGGGACAGCCAUUCAAACAUCUUGGAUUCACGUGGUACAGAUAUGAAUCAGAUAGUUUUGUGUUAAAGCACAGAUCCCAAGAAAACUACUACACCAUCGCACCUGUCACUGAAGCCCACAGUGGUGAAUACACGUGUUCUGGUGAAUCCAGCAGUGAUCCUGUCAGACUGAACG
Molecule: long non-coding RNA, 1258 nt
Organism: Anguilla rostrata (American eel)
Lineage: Eukaryota; Metazoa; Chordata; Actinopteri; Anguilliformes; Anguillidae
Exons: 3
Source: RefSeq, a predicted model, not a curated record